UGGGAAAGUGGUGUCCCUAUUGAGGACCUGA
RNAcentral lists this non-coding RNA (31 nucleotides) under Homo sapiens (human). Lineage: Eukaryota; Metazoa; Chordata; Mammalia; Primates; Hominidae. The record is from RNAcentral.